Macaca mulatta (Rhesus monkey) is the source of this 705-nucleotide long non-coding RNA. The record is from Ensembl. NCBI's taxonomy places the organism in Eukaryota, Metazoa, Chordata, Mammalia, Primates, Cercopithecidae.
AAAUUUGUAUAUCUCGGAAAGCCAGUUCACUAUUAAUAGCCAAAGAAUCCCACUUGAUUCUCAACACUUGGUACUCCAACAAAGUUGAUUUGGAAAGGGCUGCUAGAGCCUUGGAGAAGGAGUCUGAGUCUGCUGACUCAGAAAUUGGGAUGAUUUCUCUGUGGAUCCUAUAAGGAGCCUGGAGAUGGUGAAGAGAAUGCCUUGACCAUCAGGAGACAGCUUACCUUAUUGAAUCUUGAUCACUUCUUCUGACCACUUUGGAUAUUAAAAGAACAAGGGAUUAUGGUGACUAAUGGUGACAACCAAGAACAGGCUUCAGAAAGAAAGCAGCUGUGUUGCUAUGGCCAAAUUGAACUUCCUGAGUCAGCGUCCUCACAUGUAAAAUGGACAAUUCUAUUGAAGGAAAUUGAAGGUCUUACCCACUCCAUCCAAGGAACUGAUGAGAGAACCCCAAGAAGGUUGCAUAGAGUGAAUGAGAACACUGCCUUGAAUCUGCCUAAGAAUGAAACCAAAGAACAGAGGAAAGCAGACCUAGGAGAAGGAGGGAAAGAUAACAUCCCAAUAAUAGCAUUCAAGUUUCUGGAUCCAAGCAUGUCUGCUGCUGGACAUUACUCCUGGUACUUCUUGUUACAUGAUCCAGUGAAUGGCAAUUCGUGCCCUCCUCUCCCUAUACGUUUCCUCCUUUUUUUGCUUAAGGUAUUUUGA